Metopolophium dirhodum (rose-grain aphid) is the source of this 1125-nucleotide long non-coding RNA. RefSeq lists it as uncharacterized. The record is from RefSeq and is a predicted model, not a curated record. NCBI's taxonomy places the organism in Eukaryota, Metazoa, Arthropoda, Insecta, Hemiptera, Aphididae. The transcript is spliced from 6 exons.
UUUUUAUUACUAAAGGCCAAAGGGUAUACCUAUCUGUUUCUUUCCAUGGCAGUAUCCAACUGCACCACUGAAAGGUAAUUUUCCGCGCUUAAAAAAAUAAAAAUUAAUUUAUUGGAAGAAAAACUCAACGCUUUGUCCAUACUGUGUAUUAAGAACCGCAUCACAAACGAACUAGACUUUGACCACUUGCUAAAAGAUUUUUCCCAAUUAAAAGCUCGAAAAGAACUGCAUUAAAUCAUUCGUACUAUUUAUUUAUAUAUUGUAACUUGUAAGAUUAUAUGUAAUACAAUAUUUAAAUUAAAGUGUUAAUUAAUAAUUAUUCAACCAUAAUACCUUUGAACCAUUUCUCACUCCCGGGACGGCUAUACCCAAUUACCCAUCACUCUUCGAUGUUAGCCCAUUAAAAUUACGAUCUUUGGAUAGUAUUAGAAAAAGGGGGGUGGUAAACACUGAGCGUGCCUCAGGGCGCUGAGAAGGUUAAUCCGCCACUGCUUCGCAGGAAGGAAUAUUUCGGAACCGUACAUAAAAUAAUUGCCUAUAUUGGCCCCCUUUCUUUUCAGCUCAUCGGAGUGAGAUGAUUAGAUAAAGAUGGAUGAAGAUAGCUGUUUCUUCGGCGAUGGCGGCACUCUAGCUACGUUUCACCGGAAGAGUAGAUGUUUACGAUUCUGGCUGUAUUCUGGAGCGUUUCCUCAUGGGCGUCGCAGUUCACACACGACACGGAUUCCGCCGAAGGAAUCGAUAAUUAAAACUGAACUUUUGGAUCGGAGAUAUGAAGACGCGCGCUGCAUUUUGCUUGGCGGAGACGCACAGCUCUGACACUACCAAUAUUAUACACUCAAAGGGAACGCGUUUCGCCGGAAGAAUAAAUAAUUACAAAAAGAAGCUGAUAGGACUUGGUGGAAAAACGGUAAAGAUUUUUGUCAAACGAAUAAUGCAAUUUCUAUUUACGGACAGCCUUUUAAAGUUGUACUCUUUCCAUGGCAGAGGAAAUAAAAAGAAAUGUUUUUCCAAUCUUGCAAUAUCGAAAGUCAUAUUUAAUUCAGUCAAGUGUUUGAAAAAAUUUCAAAGUGAAACCAUUAAUGAAGAGAUCGAACAAUUUAUAAAAUAUGCACUCAUUCAAGCACC